AAGGAAAAAAAGAAGGAAGGAAGGAAGGAAGAGUUACGGAGGAUUUAUACUUUAUACAAAUUAGAGCCCUUCCUGGUCUACAUAAAGAGUUCCAGGCCAGCCAAGGCUAUAGAAGGUGGGAGGGAGAAGGAGAAAGAAGAGGAGGGAGGAGGGAGUCACAGAAGACAGCUAGUGUUGUCUCCAUUUAACAGAUUAAAAAAAAAAUCAUAGCUAUGAUUUAAUGAAUAGCUGCUGAGUUACGCAGUGUGCUAAGUACAGACUUUGAAAACAAAAUAUUUUUCUUCCUAUUUAAUAGCUGAAGAACAUAAAGGUAGCAAAUGAAAAAUGAAUGGGUUCCCAAGACAGCGUUCUCUUCCACUGCCACACAGGACACUGGGAAACAAAGGCCUGAAAAAGAUGUUCUUGGGCCAUCAAGAUGGACCAGAAGGGUCUCACUCUGUAGGAAAUCUCACCAAUAGAAUGGAUCAGAGAGAAGAUAAACCAUCCAAACUUGAAGAAGAACAAUCCAAUGCAGACAACAAUAAAAUAUUUAGAAAACACCAGUGAGAAUUCCAAGACAUAAGUGAUACUUAGAAAUGACUAGAUAUGCUGAGCCAUCUCUCUAUGUUUUAUUAACUUUAAAUUUUUUAAAUGCCAAUGAGACAGGAAACAGCCAGGGAGAGUACAUUGGAUAAUGGAAAAACUGCUGAAUUAAAUCAGCCUGGAUACUUUAAAGAUGUGUUGACCUCAGAAUGGAAACCAAGAUAUGUGUUAUGUUAGGGAAGAGGUUUGGCUUUUGUUUCCACAGGAGGAGAAAAAUUAUGGAUACUAUCAAGAUUGAUAAAGAUUAGAUUCAAACAGGAGAGACCUCUUGGUUAGGAGAGGUGAUAUUCAUCAAAUAGCAAGGCCUUUCAACCUGCCAAAAAGAGAAACUCCACAAAGUUAAGGUUGGGGCAGAGUUUUGUUUUGGUUUUCCAGGAAAAAUAAAAGUAUCCAAAAAAAAAAAAAGAGAGAGAGAGAGAAUCUGAAGACCACUGGACGCAUGGGACAUACGAAGAAGAAGAGUGAAUCAUCCAGAGAAAAUGCCCCAAGAAAAAGAACAAAUUGGCCUAAAUGUAUAGCACACUUCCAAUAGGAUAAAAUUUCAUAAAUCUUCCCAAGUAUUUUUCUCUACUGUGUCUACAGACACAUAAGACAAAUGGUCUUUUUGUAUUCCCAAUUCAAUUAAAAAUUAAAGCUGGCUUUGGAAUUGGAUUGUGGCUCUCACCUUCUCUAAACCCAAGUAUGCUUGUUAAAGGAAAAACUGAAAUCUCUGUCUCAUGUCAGAAGAGCCACCUGGUAUGGGACAGAAGAAAAACCAAAGUUAGAGACUAUUCUGUGGCCACUAAUCUCAUAAUCUCAUAAUCCUUUGGUUUUAUUUUGACUCUUUAAAACUUUUCUUAAGGUAUAAAUAUUAUCUCAAAAUUUAUGAUUAAUACAUACAUAUUUAAACCUUUUGUCAUGAUAUUAAUGGUCGUAUAGUGUACUAAGGAUUUCAUCUAGCUUCCUGUACAUGAUUUCAGGUAUGAGUCUCUCACAGGUAGCUAAAAAUUAAGUUUUUGUGCUCUGGAUGUAUAUAACAAAUAUUGAUCCUUUAACCUCUUUAAGAUCUGCUGCAUAUGACACUUAAAACGUUUAAGUUUCUGGCAAUGAAUCCUGAUCAUUCCUAACAGUGACCUUUGAAGUCUCCAAAAGGAUAUUGGGGCCCCAUAACAAUGAAUCUGCCUGGAUUGUGGUAAUGCCACUAAGCUGACAAACACUACCACCCAAAGAUCAGCUUUGAACUGCAAACUACUCAGAACAGCUUCAAAGAAGUUAGUUAAGAUGGUCCAGCCUCGUAGACUACUCCAGCUAGAACUUCAGAUAACACCAAGACUGGAAAGAUUUUUGCCAACUACGCAUCUGAGAGAGGGCUAAUUUCCAAAAUAUAUAAAGAAUUCAUGAAAUUAGAUAUCAAGAAAAAAUAACCCAAAUAAAAAUGAAGUACAGAUCUAAACAGAAAAUUUUCAAUAUAGUAAACUCAAAUGGCUGAGAAACAUUUAAAGAAAUAUUCCAGCCGGUGUUGGUGGCACACGCCUUUAAUCCCAGCA
Molecule: long non-coding RNA, 2108 nt
Filed under: Cricetulus griseus (Chinese hamster)
Lineage: Eukaryota; Metazoa; Chordata; Mammalia; Rodentia; Cricetidae
Description: lncRNA (ENSCGRG00000026492.1)
Source: RNAcentral